This 253-nucleotide ribosomal RNA is filed under the name uncultured bacterium. RNAcentral's name for it is "partial 16S ribosomal RNA". It matches the Rfam family "Bacterial small subunit ribosomal RNA", at positions 524 to 776 of the family's 1533-position model. The record is from RNAcentral.
GACGAACCGAGCGAACGUUGUUCGGAAUCACUGGGCUUAAAGGGCGCGUAGGCGGGUGCUCAAGUCCGUGGUGAAAUCCUCCGGCUCAACCGGAGAACUGCCUCGGAUACUGGGUGCCUCGAGGGUGGUAGGGGUAUGCGGAACUAUCGGUGGAGCGGUGAAAUGCGUUGAUAUCGAUAGGAACUCCGGUGGUGAAGGCGGCAUACUGGACCACCUCUGACGCUGAGGCGCGAAAGCGUGGGGAGCAAACAGG